GACGAACGCUGGCGGCGUGCUUAACACAUGCAAGUCGAACGGAAAGGCCCUGCUUUUGUGGGGUGCUCGAGUGGCGAACGGGUGAGUAACACGUGAGUAACCUGCCCUUGACUUUGGGAUAACUUCAGGAAACUGGGGCUAAUACCGGAUAGGAGCUCCUGCUGCAUGGUGGGGGUUGGAAAGUUUCGGCGGUUGGGGAUGGACUCGCGGCUUAUCAGCUUGUUGGUGGGGUAGUGGCUUACCAAGGCUUUGACGGGUAGCCGGCCUGAGAGGGUGACCGGCGAAAUGGGGACUGAGAUACGGCCCAGACUCCUACGGGAGGCAGCAGUGGGGAAUAUUGCACAAUGGGCGGAAGCCUGAUGCAGCAACGCCGCGUGCGGGAUGACGGCCUUCGGGUUGUAAACCGCUUUCGCCUGUGACGAAGCGUGAGUGACGGUAAUGGGUAAAGAAGCACCGGCUAACUACGUG
This 468-nucleotide ribosomal RNA is filed under the name uncultured bacterium. RNAcentral describes it as "partial 16S ribosomal RNA". It matches the Rfam family "Bacterial small subunit ribosomal RNA", at positions 28 to 507 of the family's 1533-position model. The record is from RNAcentral.